UAUGGUUAGCGAAAAAUAUGAUUGGGCUUUAUUAAAUCUUUGAGCCUGUUCCAUGAACACCUCCAAUUCAAUACAGUUUUCUAAUUAAUUUUAAUUGACCAUAAGGAACAUUAGUUAACCAAGGGGGGUAAUGGCAACUGUCCAAGCUAAUUAAAUUAUUUACAUAUACUUUACAUGAUUGUCAUUGAUAUACAUUAAAAAUUAAAUAAGUUUGUUCUCUGGUUCCUUUUAAACACACAAAAUCCUCUUCAAUGUAUCUCUUAUAGAGGAUCAGGUUUGAACACCCAGCAUUCCUAUUCCACAUAGAGAUAUCUUCCAAAUUAGAUCGGAACAUAUUGGCAUAGCUGGGUGCAAACAUGGUCCCCAUAGUUGUGCCACUUACUUCUAGAUACAUUUCCUCAUCAUACCAGAAAAAAAUUAUAGUAUGAAUAAAAGUAAUGCAAAAGAAAAUGAAUUCAGUUUGCUCCACUUGUAAAUCAGAGGGAAUAUAUAGG
Molecule: non-coding RNA, 494 nt
Organism: Pelobates cultripes (western spadefoot toad)
Lineage: Eukaryota; Metazoa; Chordata; Amphibia; Anura; Pelobatidae
Source: the annotation of a GenBank genome assembly